Molecule: ribosomal RNA, 253 nt
Filed under: uncultured bacterium
Lineage: Bacteria
Description: partial 16S ribosomal RNA
Rfam family: Bacterial small subunit ribosomal RNA
Source: RNAcentral
UACGGAGGGUGCAAGCGUUAUCCGGAUUUACUGGGUUUAAAGGGUGCGUAGGCGGGAAAAUAAGUCAGUGGUGAAAGCACCGGGCUCAACUCGGUAACUGCCAUUGAUACUGUUUUUCUUGAAUGCGAUUGAGGUAAGCGGAAUGUUGCAUGUAGCGGUGAAAUGCGUAGAGAUCGGGAGGAACACCAGAGGCGAAGGCGGCGACCUGGACAGAUACUGACACUCAACUACGAAAGCGUGGGGAGCAAACAGG